Molecule: ribosomal RNA, 517 nt
Filed under: uncultured bacterium
Lineage: Bacteria
Description: bacterial SSU rRNA
Rfam family: Bacterial small subunit ribosomal RNA
Source: RNAcentral
AGGACGAACGCUGGCGGCGUGCCUAACACACGCAAGUCGAACGGGGAUUUGCUUCGGCAGAAUCCUAGUGGCGAACGGGUGAGUAACGCGUAGGCAACCUGCCCUCCGGCCGGGGGACAACACUCCGAAAGGGGUGCUAAUACCGGAUACGAAGUCUGUGCCGCAUGGUACGGAUUUGAAAGAUGGCCUCUAUUUAUAAGCUAUCGCCGGGGGAUGGGCCUGCGUCCGAUUAGCUGGUUGGUGGGGUAACGGCCUACCAAGGCGACGAUCGGUAGCCGGUCUGAGAGGAUGAACGGCCACAUUGGGACUGAGACACGGCCCAGACUCCUACGGGAGGCAGCAGUGGGAAUCUUCCGCAAUGGGCGCAAGCCUGACGGAGCAACGCCGCGUGAGUGGAGGAAGUUCUUCGGAGACGUAAAGCUCUGUUGUUCCUGACGAACCCUCCCCUCUAUCAACAACGGAGGGGACUGACGGUAGGGAACGAGGAAGCCACGGCUAACUACGUGCCAGCCGCAGC